GUGUCUGUGGCUGAAUGGUGAGGCAACGGACUGCAAAUCCGUAUCAUGCAGGUUCAAAUCCUGUCAGACACUCCA
Molecule: transfer RNA, 75 nt
Filed under: Balneola sp.
Lineage: Bacteria; Pseudomonadati; Balneolota; Balneolia; Balneolales; Balneolaceae
Description: tRNA-Cys
Rfam family: tRNA
About the family: Transfer RNA (tRNA) molecules are approximately 80 nucleotides in length. Their secondary structure includes four short double-helical elements and three loops (D, anti-codon, and T loops). Further hydrogen bonds mediate the characteristic L-shaped molecular structure. tRNAs have two regions of fundamental functional importance: the anti-codon, which is responsible for specific mRNA codon recognition, and the 3' end, to which the tRNAs corresponding amino acid is attached (by aminoacyl-tRNA synthetases). tRNAs cope with the degeneracy of the genetic code in two manners: having more than one tRNA (with a specific anti-codon) for a particular amino acid; and 'wobble' base-pairing, i.e. permitting non-standard base-pairing at the 3rd anti-codon position.
Source: RNAcentral